GACGAACGCUGGCGGCGUGCUUAACACAUGCAGGUCGAACGGAAAGGCCCUGCUUUUGUGGGGUGCUCGAGUGGCGAACGGGUGAGUAACACGUGAGUAACCUGCCCUUGACUUUGGGAUAACUUCAGGAAACUGGGGCUAAUACCGGAUAGGAGCUCCUGCUGCAUGGUGGGGGUUGGAAAGUUUCGGCGGUUGGGGAUGGACUCGCGGCUUAUCAGCUUGUUGGUGGGGUAGUGGCUUACCAAGGCUUUGACAGGUAGCCGGCCUGAGAGGGUGACCGGCCACAUUGGGACUGAGAUACGGCCCAGACUCCUACGGGAGGCAGCAGUGGGGAAUAUUGCACAAUGGGCGGAAGCCUGAUGCAGCAACGCCGCGUGCGGGAUGACGGCCUUCGGGUUGUAAACCGCUUUCGCCUGUGACGAAGCGUGAGUGACGGUAAUGGGUAAAGAAGCACCGGCUAACUACGUG
This 468-nucleotide ribosomal RNA is filed under the name uncultured bacterium. RNAcentral's name for it is "partial 16S ribosomal RNA". It matches the Rfam family "Bacterial small subunit ribosomal RNA", at positions 28 to 507 of the family's 1533-position model. The record is from RNAcentral.